AAUUAUUUUUAUUUUAUAGUUUACUGUUGUUAUUAAGUAACGUCCUUCCAAACCCGUUCCGCCAAACCCAUCCCGUAAAAAAAACCCGCAAUACACCGCUAAUUUAAAUAUAUAAUGAAAAUAAAUGUUUUACGGGAUUGCAAUUGUAUUUUAGUUUGUCAAACAAAUUUUUGUUUUAAAUAAUUGUCGAAAUCUAGUUCAAAUUUUGGAGAAAUAAGUUUAGUGAAUUGAUAAAAAAUGUAUUUAGGUGUGUUUUGCUCAUUUUAAGGGAUUGCAAUUGUAUUUUGGUUCACAUCACUAACAUAAUUGUAUUUAGGUGUGUUUUGCUAACCUAAAUCAUUAUACAAAAAUGUAUAUUGUUCUAUAUAUACAUUUUUGCAACCCUUUUAACAAAUAAAUCCUGGAGUUGAGAUUAUUUACAAUGUUAUGCCAUUGAAACUAUUACUUUGAAUUUAAUUUCGGAAAUUAUAUUUAC
Molecule: small RNA, 475 nt
Filed under: Arabidopsis thaliana (thale cress)
Lineage: Eukaryota; Viridiplantae; Streptophyta; Magnoliopsida; Brassicales; Brassicaceae
Description: ATSL020440
Source: RNAcentral